GGUUAAGCGACUAAGCGUACACGGUGGAUGCCCUGGCAGUCAGAGGCGAUGAAGGACGUGCUAAUCUGCGAAAAGCGUCGGUAAGGUGAUAUGAACCGUUAUAACCGGCGAUGUCCGAAUGGGGAAACCCAGUGUGAUUCGUCACACUAUCGUUAACUGAAUACAUAGGUUAACGAGGCGAACCGGGGGAACUGAAACAUCUAAGUACCCCGAGGAAAAGAAAUCAACCGAGAUUCCCCCAGUAGCGGCGAGCGAACGGGGAGCAGCCCAGAGUCUGAAUCAGCUUGUGUGUUAGUGGAACGGUCUGGAAAGUCCGACGGUACAGGGUGAUAGUCCCGUACACCAAAAUGCACAGGUUGUGAACUCGAAGAGUAGGGCGGGACACGUGGUAUCCUGUCUGAAUAUGGGGGGACCAUCCUCCAAGGCUAAAUACUCCUGACUGACCGAUAGUGAACCAGUACCGUGAGGGAAAGGCGAAAAGAACCCCGGCGAGGGGAGUGAAAAAGAACCUGAAACCGUGUACGUACAAGCAGUGGGAGCACCUUCGGGUGUGACUGCGUACCUUUUGUAUAAUGGGUCAGCGACUUAUAUUCUGUAGCAAGGUUAACCGUAUAGGGGAGCCGCAGGGAAACCGAGUCUUAACUGGGCGUUAAGUUGCAGGGUAUAGACCCGAAACCCGGUGAUCUAGCCAUGGGCAGGUUGAAGGUUGGGUAACACUAACUGGAGGACCGAACCGACUAAUGUUGAAAAAUUAGCGGAUGACUUGUGGCUGGGGGUGAAAGGCCAAUCAAACCGGGAGAUAGCUGGUUCUCCCCGAAAGCUAUUUAGGUAGCGCCUCGUGAACUCAUCUUCGGGGGUAGAGCACUGUUUCGGCUAGGGGGUCAUCCCGACUUACCAACCCGAUGCAAACUACGAAUACCGAAGAAUGUUAUCACGGGAGACACACGGCGGGUGCUAACGUCCGUCGUGAAGAGGGAAACAACCCAGACCGCCAGCUAAGGUCCCAAAGUCAUGGUUAAGUGGGAAACGAUGUGGGAAGGCACAGACAGCCAGGAUGUUGGCUUAGAAGCAGCCAUCAUUUAAAGAAAGCGUAAUAGCUCACUGGUCGAGUCGGCCUGCGCGGAAGAUGUAACGGGGCUAAACCAUGCACCGAAGCUGCGGCAGCGACACUAUGUGUUGUUGGGUAGGGGAGCGUUCUGUAAGCCUGCGAAGGUGUGCUGUGAGGCAUGCUGGAGGUAUCAGAAGUGCGAAUGCUGACAUAAGUAACGAUAAAGCGGGUGAAAAGCCCGCUCGCCGGAAGACCAAGGGUUCCUGUCCAACGUUAAUCGGGGCAGGGUGAGUCGACCCCUAAGGCGAGGCCGAAAGGCGUAGUCGAUGGGAAACAGGUUAAUAUUCCUGUACUUGGUGUUACUGCGAAGGGGGGACGGAGAAGGCUAUGUUAGCCGGGCGACGGUUGUCCCGGUUUAAGCAUGUAGGCUGGUUGUCCAGGCAAAUCCGGAUAAUCAAGGCUGAGGUGUGAUGACGAGGCACUACGGUGCUGAAGUAACAAAUGCCCUGCUUCCAGGAAAAGCCUCUAAGCAUCAGGUAACAUUAAAUCGUACCCCAAACCGACACAGGUGGUCAGGUAGAGAAUACCAAGGCGCUUGAGAGAACUCGGGUGAAGGAACUAGGCAAAAUGGUGCCGUAACUUCGGGAGAAGGCACGCUGGUGUGUAGGUGAAGUCCCUGCGGAUGGAGCUGAGACCAGUCGAAGAUACCAGCUGGCUGCAACUGUUUAUUAAAAACACAGCACUGUGCAAACACGAAAGUGGACGUAUACGGUGUGACGCCUGCCCGGUGCCGGAAGGUUAAUUGAUGGGGUUAUCCGUAAGGAGAAGCUCUUGAUCGAAGCCCCGGUAAACGGCGGCCGUAACUAUAACGGUCCUAAGGUAGCGAAAUUCCUUGUCGGGUAAGUUCCGACCUGCACGAAUGGCGUAAUGAUGGCCAGGCUGUCUCCACCCGAGACUCAGUGAAAUUGAACUCGCUGUGAAGAUGCAGUGUACCCGCGGCAAGACGGAAAGACCCCGUGAACCUUUACUAUAGCUUGACACUGAACAUUGAGCCUUGAUGUGUAGGAUAGGUGGGAGGCUUUGAAGCGUGGACGCCAGUCUGCGUGGAGCCAACCUUGAAAUACCACCCUUUAAUGUUUGAUGUUCUAACGUUGGCCCCUUACCGGGGUUGCGGACAGUGUCUGGUGGGUAGUUUGACUGGGGCGGUCUCCUCCCAAAGCGUAACGGAGGAGCACGAAGGUUAGCUAAUCCUGGUCGGACAUCAGGAGGUUAGUGCAAUGGCAUAAGCUAGCUUGACUGCGAGCGUGACGGCGCGAGCAGGUGCGAAAGCAGGUCAUAGUGAUCCGGUGGUUCUGAAUGGAAGGGCCAUCGCUCAACGGAUAAAAGGUACUCCGGGGAUAACAGGCUGAUACCGCCCAAGAGUUCAUAUCGACGGCGGUGUUUGGCACCUCGAUGUCGGCUCAUCACAUCCUGGGGCUGAAGUAGGUCCCAAGGGUAUGGCUGUUCGCCAUUUAAAGUGGUACGCGAGCUGGGUUUAGAACGUCGUGAGACAGUUCGGUCCCUAUCUGCCGUGGGCGCUGGAGAAUUGAGGGGGGCUGCUCCUAGUACGAGAGGACCGGAGUGGACGCAUCACUGGUGUUCGGGUUGUCAUGCCAAUGGCACUGCCCGGUAGCUAAAUGCGGAAGAGAUAAGUGCUGAAAGCAUCUAAGCACGAAACUUGCCCCGAGAUGAGUUCUCCCUGAGACUUUAAGUCUCCUGAAGGAACGUUGAAGACGACGACGUUGAUAGGCCGGGUGUGUAAGCGCAGCGAUGCGUUGAGCUAACCGGUACUAAUGAACCGUGAGGCUUAACCUU
This 2902-nucleotide ribosomal RNA is filed under the name Klebsiella pneumoniae. RNAcentral's name for it is "23S ribosomal RNA". It matches the Rfam family "Bacterial large subunit ribosomal RNA". The record is from RNAcentral. Lineage: Bacteria; Pseudomonadati; Pseudomonadota; Gammaproteobacteria; Enterobacterales; Enterobacteriaceae.